UACGUAGGACACAAACGUUGCGCGAAUUUACUGGGUGUAAAGGGUGCGUAGGCGGUUUAGGAAGUGGUUGGUGAAAUUUCACGGCUCAACCGUGAAACUGCCUUUCAAACUGCUAGACUUGAGUGAGGGAGAGGUCGUUGGAAUUCCCGGUGUAGCGGUGAAAUGCUUAGAUAUCGGGAGGAACACCAGUGGCGAAGGCUGCUGCCUGUGACGUUCCUGACGCUGAGGGACGAAAGCUUGGGGAGCAAACCGG
RNAcentral lists this ribosomal RNA (253 nucleotides) under uncultured bacterium. RNAcentral's name for it is "partial 16S ribosomal RNA". It matches the Rfam family "Bacterial small subunit ribosomal RNA", at positions 524 to 776 of the family's 1533-position model. The record is from RNAcentral.